Molecule: ribosomal RNA, 253 nt
Filed under: uncultured bacterium
Lineage: Bacteria
Description: partial 16S ribosomal RNA
Rfam family: Bacterial small subunit ribosomal RNA
Source: RNAcentral
UACGGAGGAGGCAAGCGUUAUCCGGAAUUAUUGGGCGUAAAGCGUCCGCAGGUGGCACUUCAAGUCUGUCGUCAAAGACUGGGGCUUAACCCCGGAAAGGCGGUGGAAACUGAAGCGCUAGAGUGCGGUAGGGGUAGAGGGAAUUCCCGGUGUAGCGGUGAAAUGCGUAGAUAUCUGGAGGAACACCGGUGGCGAAGGCGGCAUCCUGGACCGGCAUUGACGCUGAGGAGCGAAAGCCAGGGGAGCAAACGGG